RNAcentral lists this ribosomal RNA (301 nucleotides) under uncultured bacterium. Its description in RNAcentral is "partial 16S ribosomal RNA". It matches the Rfam family "Bacterial small subunit ribosomal RNA", at positions 509 to 807 of the family's 1533-position model. The record is from RNAcentral.
CAGCAGCCGCGGUAAUACAAAGGGGGCUAGCGUUGUUCGGAUUUACUGGGCGUAAAGGGCGCGUAGGCGGGCUGAUAAGUCGGGGGUGAAAUCCCAAGGCUCAACCUUGGAACUGCCUUUGAUACUGUUGGUCUUGAGUCCGGGAGAGGUGAGUGGAACUGCGAGUGUAGAGGUGAAAUUCGUAGAUAUUCGCAAGAACACCAGUGGCGAAGGCGGCUCACUGGCCCGGAACUGACGCUGAGGCGCGAAAGCGUGGGGAGCAAACAGGAUUAGAUACCCCUGUAGUCCCUGUCUCUUAUAC